AUUGAACGCUGGCGGCAUGCCUUACACAUGCAAGUCGAACGGCAGCACGGGAGCAAUCCUGGUGGCGAGUGGCGAACGGGUGAGUAAUAUAUCGGAACGUGCCCAGUCGUGGGGGAUAACGUAGCGAAAGCUACGCUAAUACCGCAUACGAUCUAAGGAUGAAAGCGGGGGAUCGCAAGACCUCGCGCGAUUGGAGCGGCCGAUAUCAGAUUAGGUAGUUGGUGAGGUAAAGGCUCACCAAGCCAACGAUCUGUAGCUGGUCUGAGAGGACGACCAGCCACACUGGAACUGAGACACGGUCCAGACUCCUACGGGAGGCAGCAGUGGGGAAUUUUGGACAAUGGACGCAAGUCUGAUCCAGCAAUGCCGCGUGCAGGAUGAAGGCCUUCGGGUU
Molecule: ribosomal RNA, 394 nt
Filed under: uncultured bacterium
Lineage: Bacteria
Description: bacterial SSU rRNA
Rfam family: Bacterial small subunit ribosomal RNA
Source: RNAcentral